RNAcentral lists this ribosomal RNA (253 nucleotides) under uncultured bacterium. RNAcentral describes it as "partial 16S ribosomal RNA". It matches the Rfam family "Bacterial small subunit ribosomal RNA", at positions 524 to 776 of the family's 1533-position model. The record is from RNAcentral.
UACGUAGGGUGCAAGCGUUGUCCGGAAUUAUUGGGCGUAAAGAGCAUGUAGGCGGCCCGAUUAGUCCGCUGUGAAAGUCCAGGGCUCAACCCUGGAAUGCCGGUGGAUACUGUCGGGCUAGAGUCCGGAAGGGGCGAGUGGAAUUCCUGGUGUAGCGGUGAAAUGCGCAGAUAUCGGGAGGAACACCAAUGGCGAAGGCAGCUCGCUGGGACGGUACUGACGCUGAGACGCGAAAGCGUGGGGAGCAAACAGG